UCUGGUGAUGAUGGCGGAGAGGUCACACCCGUUCCCAUGCCGAACACGGAAGUUAAGCUCUUCAGCGCCGAUGGUAGUCGGGGGUUUCCCCCUGUGAGAGUAGGACAUCGCCAGGU
Molecule: ribosomal RNA, 116 nt
Filed under: Bacillus subtilis subsp. subtilis
Lineage: Bacteria; Bacillati; Bacillota; Bacilli; Caryophanales; Bacillaceae
Source: RNAcentral